GGACACUCCAGCGUGCCCCCAGCACUCAGCGAGCAACUCGGGGCAGUCGAGCUGCUGGCCACAGAUCCCUGUGCAGAGCCAUGGCGGGGGACGGGGAGCUCAACCGUGUCAUCAAGGACUUGCAGAAGACCGUGGCUGAGCUGAACUGCAGCUACCG
Long non-coding RNA from Lepidothrix coronata (blue-crowned manakin), 157 nucleotides. RefSeq lists it as uncharacterized. The record is from RefSeq and is a predicted model, not a curated record. The transcript has 3 exons. NCBI's taxonomy places the organism in Eukaryota, Metazoa, Chordata, Aves, Passeriformes, Pipridae.